Beta vulgaris subsp. vulgaris (sugar beet) is the source of this 2448-nucleotide non-coding RNA. NCBI's taxonomy places the organism in Eukaryota, Viridiplantae, Streptophyta, Magnoliopsida, Caryophyllales, Amaranthaceae. The record is from Rfam.
GGGUACCCCGGGGACCCUAGGGAGGUCCAGGACGAAAAAACUCGCCGGGCUUCGGGUUGUCGGAAAAUGGCUCGAAAACUGGAAAAAACGUGGAUUAUAGUACACGACUCCGGGAGCCCGCGGGGCCCGGGCACCGGUCCCAAUGGGGUGCCUCCCAGGGCCGUGGGAGGCCCUUUGAAGGCACACUCGUGCUGUGGAAGGGUCAUGUGGUGCCGUUUGGAGGCCCUCCUAGGCCUAGCUAAGGGUUGUGCCGAGCGAGCUAAGGGAAGGCAAAAGUGGGAAGAGAAUGAAAGUCCGAGGAAUACGGGGGAUGAUUCGGCACCGGGGGGGUUGAUUCGCACAAUUGGUAAUCGCGCUUAGUUGAAAAGCCAGUGGCUCGAAGCUACCGUGCGCUGGAUUAGGACUGAACGCCUCUAAGUCAGAAUCCGGGCCAGAAAAAAAAAAUACCUAUAUUUCACCAUUUUUUGGCCUAUUUUUGCCCAUUACCCGUCAAAAUGUGUUAUUUUUUGAAAAAAAAUACGUAAAUUAAGUACACGUCGAGACAUAUUUUUCAAGAUUUUUCCCAAAUCACCCUCUAUCUUUCCCUAUUUUUCUCCUUAUUUUGCCCAUUUUCCGCAUAAAAUUUUGUUCUUUCCAGAAAAAAAAUAAUAUUUAAAUUAUAUAUACCUCCCAAAGUAUUUUUGCAUAAUUUUCCAGAUUUUUCCCUAUUUUCCCUCUAUUUUUCGUUAUUUUCUCCAAUUUUCGCAACAUUUAGCCCAUUUUCCACAAAAAAAAUGAUUUUUUUCCAAAAAAAAAAACCUAAAAAAACUUCAUCUCAUAUACAGUGGAUUCAUGAAGAAAAAACUGGGCACUAUUAUAUAAUUUUCGUGAGUAAAAGGUCGUGUGAUUCUACCGUCAAAAGUGUGUUCAUUGGGGAAAUAACCAUAUUCCCCACUAAAUCUCUUUAGGGCGUAGUGAUUGAUGAUGCUCUAGGCCUGCCCAUGGGCCAUGGCUGCUUGGUGCUUGCACCUUGCACGGUGCCCUUGUGGUGCAUGAAACGGUUGGGCCCCAUUUGGUUCUUGGUGGCGCAUGUUAGCUUGUUUCUUCGAAUUCCGUGGUGCUUGAUGGUGCGCCGCGCCCGCGAGGUGCAUGGGGGUGGUUGGGCCCCACUUAGUGCUUAGUGCUUGGUGGUGUACGUGAUGCUUUACGAUGCACCACACCCUUGUGGUGCAUGAAACGUGGCGCAUGGUAGCUUGAUUCUUCGUAUUGCAUUGUGCUCGGUGGUGCAUGGGUUGUUGGGCCUCUUAUAGUGCUUGGUGGUGUGCUUGAAGGUGCACACACACACGCGCACGCUAUGGAUGGCAAUGGGGCGGGUCUGGGUCGGGUCCACCUAGACCCAGACCCAGACCCGUUUAUUUUUCAUAGACCCAGACCCGUUGGGUCUAGAUUUUUCAGACCCAUACCCAGACCCGCUGGGUCUAGCGGGUCCAUGGGUCCUUACUGGGUCCUAAAUGGGUCCUUCUUAGUUUUAAGUUUUCAUCACAUUUUUAAAUAUAUGUAAUUAAAAAUUUUCCUCCUAAUAUAUAUAGGUUCUUGUAUCCAUGGGAGCUUUGGCGCAAGUGAAAUACCACUACUUUUUAGACCUAAGGUCCGCUUUGCGAGCCGAUCCGGGCGGAGGACAUUGUCAGGGGGGUGUUUGGCUGGGGAGGCACAUCUGUUAAAAUAUAACGCAGGUGUCCUAAGAUGAGCUCAACGAGAACAGGAAAUCUCGUGUGGAACAGGAUGGUGAAAGCUCGUUUGAUUCUGAUUUUCAGUACGAAUACGAACCGUGAAAGCGUGGCCUAACGAUCCUUUAGACAUUCGGAAUUUGAAGCUAGAGGUGUCAGAAAAGUUACCACAGGGAUAACUGGCUUGUGGCAGCCAAGCGUUCAUAGCGACGUUGCUUUUUGAUCCUUCGAUGAUGGCUCUUCCUAUCAUUGUGAAGCAGAAUUCACCAAGUGUUGGAUUGUUCACCCACCAAUAGGGAACGUGAGCUGGGUUUAGACUGUCGUGAGACAGGUUAGUUUUACCCUAUUGAUGAUAGUGUCGCGAUGGUAAUUCAACCUAGUACGAGAGGAACCGUUGAUUCGCACAAUUGGUAAUCGCGCUUGGUUGAAAAGCCAGUGGCGCGAAGCUACCGUGCGCUGGAUUAUGACUGAACGCCUCUAAGUUAGAAUCCGGGUUAGAAGCGAUGCAUGCACCCCGCUUGAUGCCGUCCUACAGUAGGGGCUUCGGCCCCCAAGGGCACGUGUCGUAGGCUAAGCUAGCGCGGCGGAUGCGCCGUGACGGUCGCCUUGAAGUACAAUUCCUACCGAGCGGCAGGUUAAAUCCUUUGCAGACGACUUAAAUACGCGACGGGGUAUUGUAAGUGGCAGAGUGGCCUUGCUGCCACGAUCCACUGAGAUUCAGCCUUAUGUCGCUCCGAUUCGU